This 404-nucleotide ribosomal RNA is filed under the name uncultured bacterium. RNAcentral describes it as "partial 16S ribosomal RNA". It matches the Rfam family "Bacterial small subunit ribosomal RNA", at positions 33 to 526 of the family's 1533-position model. The record is from RNAcentral.
GACGACGCUGGCGGCGUGCUUAACACAUGCAAGUCGAACGAGUGGCGGACGGGUGAGUAAUGCCUAGGAAUCUGCCUGGUAGUGGGGGAUAACGUCCGGAAACGGGCGCUAAUACCGCAUCCAUCGGAUGUGCCCAGAUGGGAUUAGCUAGUAGGUGGGGUAAAGGCUCACCUAGGAGACGAUCCCUAGCUGGUCUGAGAGGAUGACCAGCCACACUGGAACUGAGACACGGUCCAGACUCCUACGGGAGGCAGCAGUGGGGAAUAUUGCACAAUGGGCGCAAGCCUGAUGCAGCCAUGCCGCGUGUAUGAAGAAGGCCUUCGGGUUGUAAAGUACUUUCAGCGGGGAGGCGUUACCCGCAGAAGAAGCACCGGCUAACUCCGUGCCAGCCGCCGCGGUAAUAC